GUAUGAUAUGCAAAGAGUAAAGGUUACCCCUCCACUAGAUAAGGAUGGAAGGGGGUCCUAGUGGCUUUACCACACUCAAAUGGUUAAGACCUUUACCACCUACUUACUCGCAUCUGACUAUGUUUUUUU
Molecule: small nuclear RNA, 129 nt
Organism: Rhincodon typus (whale shark)
Lineage: Eukaryota; Metazoa; Chordata; Chondrichthyes; Orectolobiformes; Rhincodontidae
Source: RefSeq, a predicted model, not a curated record